GGGUACGGGMUAAMUAGAGUGCAGUAGGGGAGACUGGAAWUCCUGGUGUAGCGGUGGAAUGCGCAGAUAUCAGGAGGAACACCGACGGCGAAGGCAGGUCUCUGGGCUGUAACUGACGCUGAGAAGCGAAAGCAUGGGGAGCGAACAGGAUUAGAUACCCUGGUAGUCCAUGCCGUAAACGUUGGGCACUAGGUGUGGGGGACAUUCCACGUUUUCCGCGCCGUAGCUAACGCAUUAAGUGCCCCGCCUGGGGAGUACGGCCGCAAGGCUAAAACUCAAAGGAAUUGACGGGGGCCCGCACAAGCGGCGGAGCAUGCGGAUUAAUUCGACGCAACGCGAAGAACCUUACCAAGGCUUGACAUGC
Molecule: ribosomal RNA, 364 nt
Filed under: uncultured bacterium
Lineage: Bacteria
Description: bacterial SSU rRNA
Rfam family: Bacterial small subunit ribosomal RNA
Source: RNAcentral